This 446-nucleotide ribosomal RNA is filed under the name uncultured bacterium. Its description in RNAcentral is "partial 16S ribosomal RNA". It matches the Rfam family "Bacterial small subunit ribosomal RNA", at positions 338 to 795 of the family's 1533-position model. The record is from RNAcentral.
CCUACGGGUGGCUGCAGUCGAGAAUUAUUCACAAUGGGGGAAACCCUGAUGCUGCGACGCCGCGUGGGGGAAUGAAGGUCUUCGGGUUGUAAACCCCUUUCAUGUGGGAGCAAAUUAAAUAGAUAGUACCACAUUAGGAAUAGACGGCGAACUCUGUGCCAGCAGCCGCGGUAAUACAGAGGUCUCAAUCGUUAUUCGGAAUCACUGGUGGUAAAGCGUGCGUAGGCUGUUUCUGAAUGCGUGUGUGAAAGGCGCGGGAUCAACCAGCGGACGGCACAGGGUACUGGGCGCCUCGAGUAAUCGAGGGGUAAGCGGAAUUCUGGGUGUAGCAGUGAAAUGCGUAGAUAUCGAGAAGAACACUCGUGGCGAAGGCAGGUUCCUGGACAGUAACUGACGCUGAGGCACGAAGGUCCGGGGAGCGAAAGGGAUUAGAUACCCCAGUAGUC